This 560-nucleotide ribosomal RNA is filed under the name Apiosordaria microcarpa. RNAcentral describes it as "partial 28S ribosomal RNA". It matches the Rfam family "Eukaryotic large subunit ribosomal RNA", at positions 38 to 625 of the family's 3401-position model. The record is from RNAcentral. Lineage: Eukaryota; Fungi; Ascomycota; Sordariomycetes; Sordariales; Lasiosphaeriaceae.
GCAUAUCAAUAAGCGGAGGAAAAGAAACCAACAGGGAUUGCCCUAGUAACGGCGAGUGAAGCGGCAACAGCUCAAAUUUGAAAUCUGGCUCCGGCCCGAGUUGUAAUUUGCAGAGGAAGCUUCUGGUGAUAUACCGUCUAAGUCCCCUGGAACGGGGCGCCACAGUGGGUGAGAGCCCCAUAUGACGGAUGUAGAUCCUGUGUGAAGCUCCUUCGACGAGUCGAGUAGUUUGGGAAUGCUGCUCAAAAUGGGAGGUAAAUUCCUUCUAAAGCUAAAUAUUGGCCAGAGACCGAUAGCGCACAAGUAGAGUGAUCGAAAGAUGAAAAGCACUUUGAAAAGAGGGUUAAACAGCACGUGAAAUUGUUGAAAGGGAAGCGCUUAUGACCAGACUUGCGCUGGGCUGAUCAUCCGGUGUUCUCACCGGUGCACUCGGCCCAGCUCAGGCCAGCAUCGGUUUUGGUGGGGGGAUAAAGGCGCUGGGAACGUAGCUCCUUCGGGAGUGUUAUAGCCCAGCGUGCAAUGCCCCCGCCGGGACCGAGGUUCGCGCAUCUGCAAGGAUG